CGGGUGAUGGAAAGCGGCGAAAGGGAGAGUAACACGCGGGUACCUACCCUCAGGACCGGGAUAGCUGCGGGAAACUGCAAUUAAUACCGGAUGAAGUCUCCGGACCAAAGGUGUGAUUCCGCCGGAGGAGGGGCCCACGUCCUAUCAGCUAGUUGGCGAGGUAAUAGCUCACCAAGGCUACGACGGGUACGGGGUGUGAGAGCAUGCCCCCGCUCACUGGGACUGAGACACUGCCCAGACACCUACGGGUGGCUGCAGUCGAGAAUCUUCCGCAAUGGGCGAAAGCCUGACGGAGCGACGCCGCGUGCGGGAUGAAGGCCUUCGGGUUGUAAACCGCUGUCAGUGGGGAGGAAAUGCACGGGGGUUCUCCCUCGUGUUUGACCGAUCCGCAGAGGAAGCACAGGCUAAGUUCGUGCCAGCAGCCGCGGUAACACGAACUGUGCAAACGUUAUUCGGAAUCACUGGGCUUAAAGAGUUCGUAGGCGGCAUGUCAAGUCGGGUGUGAAAUCCCUCGGCUCAACCGAGGAAUUGCGUCCGAAACUGGCGUGCUUGAGUGAGAUAGAGGUGAGCGGAACUGAUGGUGGAGCGGUGAAAUGCGUUGAUAUCAUCAGGAACACCGGUGGCGAAAGCGGCUCACUGGGUCUCAACUGACGCUGAGGAACGAAAGCUAGGGGAGCGAACGGGAUUAGAUACCCCGGUAGUCCUAGCCGUAAACGAUGAGCACUAGGUUGAGGGGACCUCCACAUCCCCCCGGCCGUAGCGAAAGUGUUAA
RNAcentral lists this ribosomal RNA (772 nucleotides) under uncultured organism. RNAcentral describes it as "bacterial SSU rRNA". It matches the Rfam family "Bacterial small subunit ribosomal RNA", at positions 82 to 863 of the family's 1533-position model. The record is from RNAcentral.